UGUUAAGCUACUAAGGGCGUACGGUGGAUGCCUUGGCGUCAAAUGCCGAUGAAGGACGUGGAACACUGCGAUAAGCCUCGGGGAGCCGUGUGCAGGCUUCGAUCCGGGGAUGUCCGAAUGGGGAAACCCGGCGUCGGGACGCAAGUCUCCGGCGUCAUCCCCUGGCUGAACACAUAGGCCAGGGGAGGGGAACCUGGGGAACUGAAACAUCUUAGUACCCAGAGGAAAAGAGAUCAUUCCGCUAGUAGUGGCGAGCGAACGCGGAAAAGCCCAAACCGGUCCGGCUUGCUGGACCGGGGUUGUAGGACCGGCACAUGGGAGUGAUAAAUCCAAGGGUUAGCAGAAUGGUGUUGAAAAGCCUACCGCAGAGGGUGCAAGUCCCGUAUGCGAAAACCUGAGGACUCCCGCCGAGUUCCUGAGUACUGCCGGGCACGCUAAUCCGGUAGGAAGCUGGGGAGCCCACUCUCCAAGGCUAAAUACGUUUGACGACCGAUAGUGAACAAGUACCGUGAGGGAAAGGUGAAAAGGACCCCUGUUAGGGGAGUGAAAUAGAACCUGAAACCGUAUGCCUACAAGCAGUCGGAGGGCUAAUGGCGCGUCUGUGUGCCCGGGAAACCGGGAAAUGCGGCGCUAUGCCUGACGGCGUGCCUUUUGGAGAAUGAGCCGGCGAGUUAAUCUCUGUGGCGAGGUUAAGGGAGUGACACCUGGAGCCGAAGCGAAAGCGAGUCUGAAUAGGGCGAAUUAGUCGCUGGGAUUAGACACGAAACGGGGUGAGCUACCCAUGGCCAGGGUGAAGUCCCGGUAAAACGGGAUGGAGGCCCGAACCUUUAGCAGUUGCAAAUGCUUGGGAUGAGCUGUGGGUAGAGGUGAUAUGCCAACCGAACUCCGAGAUAGCUUGUUCUCCCCGAAAUAGCUUUAGGGCUAGCGUCGCGCGUUGAGUGAUGGAGGUAGAGCACUGGAUGGACUAGGGGGCCUCACCGGUUACCCUACCCAACCAAACUCCGAAUGCCAUCACUUAUGAGCGCGGCAGUCGGACUACGGGAGAUGAGUUUCGUAGUCGAGAGGGAAAGAGCCCAGACCGCCAGCUAAGGUCCCCAAGU
Molecule: ribosomal RNA, 1100 nt
Filed under: Chloroflexota bacterium
Lineage: Bacteria; Bacillati; Chloroflexota
Description: partial 23S ribosomal RNA
Rfam family: Bacterial large subunit ribosomal RNA
Source: RNAcentral